Molecule: ribosomal RNA, 497 nt
Filed under: uncultured bacterium
Lineage: Bacteria
Description: partial 16S ribosomal RNA
Rfam family: Bacterial small subunit ribosomal RNA
Source: RNAcentral
GAUGAACGCUGGCGGCGUGCCUAAUACAUGCAAGUCGAGCGAACAGACGAGGAGCUUGCUCCUCUGACGUUAGCGGCGGACGGGUGAGUAACACGUGGAUAAUCUACUUAUAAGACUGGGAUAACUUCGGGAAACCGGAGCUAAUACCGGAUAAUAUAUGGAACCGCAUGGUUCAAUAGUGAAAGACGGUUUUGCUGUCACUUAUAGAUGUAUCCGCGCCGCAUUAGCUAGUUGGUAAGGUAACGGCUUACCAAGGCAACGAUGCGUAGCCGACCUGAGAGGGUGAUCGGCCACACUGGAACUGAGACACGGUCCAGACUCCUACGGGAGGCAGCAGUAGGGAAUCUUCCGCAAUGGGCGAAAGCCUGACGGAGCAACGCCGCGUGAGUGAUGAAGGUCUUCGGAUCGUAAAACUCUGUUAUUAGGGAAGAACAAAUGUGUAAGUAACUAUGCACGUCUUGACGGUACCUAAUCAGAAAGCCACGGCUAACUACGUG